This 75-nucleotide transfer RNA is filed under the name Verrucomicrobia bacterium RIFCSPHIGHO2_12_FULL_41_10. RNAcentral describes it as "tRNA-Val". It matches the Rfam family "tRNA". From Rfam's summary of the family: Transfer RNA (tRNA) molecules are approximately 80 nucleotides in length. Their secondary structure includes four short double-helical elements and three loops (D, anti-codon, and T loops). Lineage: Bacteria; Pseudomonadati; Verrucomicrobiota. RNAcentral also lists the same sequence under 3 other names. The record is from RNAcentral.
GCGCGGUUAGCUCAGCGGUAGAGCACUACACUGACACUGUAGGGGUCGGCAGUUCAAACCUGCCACCGCGCACCA